Molecule: long non-coding RNA, 1800 nt
Organism: Pangasianodon hypophthalmus (striped catfish)
Lineage: Eukaryota; Metazoa; Chordata; Actinopteri; Siluriformes; Pangasiidae
Exons: 2
Source: RefSeq, a predicted model, not a curated record
UGAACUCAGGUGCCCCCCAGGGAUACGUACUCAGCCCCUUACUGUAGUCCCUGUUAAUGCAUGACUGCGUUGCCAAACACAGCUCCAGUGUAAUUUUCAAGUUUGCUGAUGACAAUCAUCCUGGGCCUCAUCUCAAAUGAAGAUGAAACAGCCUAGAGAGAGGAAAUCAGAGCUGUGUCACAAUGACCCCUCUCUUAACAGCAGCAAAAUAAAGGAAAUGAUACAUGGACUCAAACACAUUAACAAAGCUGCUGUGGAAACAGUAAGGAACUUCAAGUUCCUCAGUGUUCACAUCACCAUCGACCUCACCUGGUUCUCCUAAUACUGAUACAAUCAUAAGGUCUGCCUGCCAGAGAUUGUAUUUCCUGUGGAAGCUACAGAGGUCCAGACUGAAAAAUCCAAACCCUAAAAUCCUCACCAUCUUCUACCAUAAAAAGCAUCCUAACUGGGUGCACCACUGUGUGGUAUGGCAGUUGCACAACCUCAAGGCUCUCCAGAGUGUGGUGAGAACUCAUCACAGCCAACAAGUUCCCAGCCACAAAUGACAUUUACCAAACACAGUGCUUGAGUGCAUCCAAUCAUAGACAAGCUCAGUACAAAACAGUUUUUACCUGCAGACUCUCAGGCUCCUAAACAGCCUGUAGGCCAGCUCAUCUACAUACCCAGUGUUACUGUGACUUUACAUCAGGGGUUCCCAGACUAGGGGUCACAAGCGAAACUCACAAACUCCUCUUCUGUUUCAUUCAUUUAUUAUACUAAUUAAUAUUAGAAAACCUAAGACAGAUUUUGUGUGCUAAUAUUUCUAAAUGUUACUGUGAGUCACAUUCAGACAAGCUACGUUUAAAUUAAUAUGUGCAAUUUUUUUUUUUUCCCUUGACACCUGACACGCUGCACUAGUGUAGUUCAGCAAAAAAGAUGGACAAAUUUCCUCGUCCGUCUACCUCCGCGUGCCUCAAGUCGCAAACUUGUACUAUAAUAUACUAUUCUGGACCAUUAGUGCUAACACUAUCCGGUUUUCCGAUUACAAUUGGCAUUUAAAUUUUAAAAACCUCUCAUGUGGCUUCAAACCUACCGAAAGGUCUGUUCGGCGUACCAGUUUUCUGGAUUUUUCGACUGGUGUAUGGUGAAGUGGUACGGGGAAGUGGUAGCUCAGUGGUUAAGACGUUGGACUCCUGCUCGAAAGGUUGAGAGUUCAAAUCCCAGCACCACCAGGCUGCCACUGCUGGGCCCUUGAGCAAGGCCCUUAACCCUCAACUGCUCACUAAAUGAGAUAAUUGUAAGUCGCUCUGGAUAAGGGCGUCUGCCAAAUGCCGUAAAUGUGUUCUGGCGUUUUCAAUUUGAGACGCAGCCCAUGACAACAAUCACGAAGGACGCGGGAAGUUUUAAGACAAACAGAGCUCGUCAGUGUGUUUAACAUUUCUCUGCAUAAAAUCGCUAAAAAUCUUUCUGACUUGGAAAAACCCGACGGACGGGAUGUUUUGCUCUGACAUGCCGUCUAGUGGAUGCCACUUUUAAAUCUUUGAAUAAUAUAGCAGUUGCAUUACUGCUGCUUCUGCACGCGCACGGAAAAUCAUGCAUCAUGCAAGUACAAACCAGGCUGCUUCACCACCCCGCCAUGGAUUAUUUUCCUCAAACACACUUCGCACUAGACUGACGAAAACGAUGAAGAGGAGGAUGACGACAACACUUCUAGCACCCUCAGCCGCGCCAACCUGUCCACCUGCCAACCGCAGAGCCCCUUAGGUCCUAAGCCCACUUACCCUUCCUGUUUCUGUAAAUAAAAGUCAAUUGUGCACCUUA